GACGAACCUUGCUAACGUUAUUCGGAAUUACUGGGCUUAAAGGGUGCGUAGGCGGUGCGGAAAGUUGGGUGUGAAAUCCCUCGGCUCAACCGAGGAAUUGCGCCCAAAACUGCCGCACUAGAGGAAGACAGAGGUACGCGGAACUUAGGGUGGAGCGGUGAAAUGCGUUGAUAUCCUAAGGAACACCGGUGGCGAAAGCGGCGUACUGGGUCUUAUCUGACGCUGAGGCACGGAAAGCUAGGGGAGCGAACAGG
RNAcentral lists this ribosomal RNA (254 nucleotides) under uncultured bacterium. Its description in RNAcentral is "partial 16S ribosomal RNA". It matches the Rfam family "Bacterial small subunit ribosomal RNA", at positions 524 to 776 of the family's 1533-position model. The record is from RNAcentral.